This 595-nucleotide ribosomal RNA is filed under the name Elaphe moellendorffi (Flower snake). Its description in RNAcentral is "partial 12S ribosomal RNA". Lineage: Eukaryota; Metazoa; Chordata; Lepidosauria; Squamata; Colubridae. The record is from RNAcentral.
AUAAUAAUAACGGCGUAAAGCACGACCAACAAUUAGUCUAAACAUUAGGAACGAAGCUAAUCUGGGCUGUAAAAAGCCAUAAGUCACACUAAUCACACCCUAAUACCAAACAACUUCCACUCGUGAAAGUCAGGGCACAAACUAAGAUUAGAUACCUUACUAUGCCUAACCAUAACAAAACAAUCAAAUAACCAAUUGUUCGCCAAAUAACUACGAGUAAAAACUUAAAAUUUAAAAGACUUGACGGUAUCUCAUAACAACCUAGAGGAGCCUGUCCAAUAACCGAUACCCCACGAUCAACCCAACCCACUCUAGCCGAACAGUCUAUAUACCGCCGUCGCCAGCCUACCUUGUGAAAGAAACGAAGUGAGCUAAAAAGCCACCACACUAACACGACAGGUCGAGGUGUAACUUAUGAGGGGGUAAAGAUGGGCUACAUUUUCUAACACAGAAAACACGGAUUAACCUAUGAAAUAAGAAACUAAAGGAGGAUUUAGCAGUAUAUUAGGAACAACAUACCUAAUUGAAACUAACGCAAUGAGGUGCGUACACACCGCCCGUCAUCCCUGAGUACCAAAAAUAAAACAUAUAUAAU